AUGGCGGUUACUGCAGGCAACAGAGUUUCCUAUGGGUGUUCCUUUCCAAAACACACAUGUUCUACAUGGAGGCUCAACCUAGGGUAUAUGUCGUACAGCUGGCUAAGUAUUCUGAAAGGUUUAAAGCUUCUCAAGACCGGCAUUAGUUGGACGGUUGGAGAUGGACAAGAAACAAUAUAUUGUGUUGAAAAUCGAAUUUUGCAUGCAUUGGAUCCUUCUAAACUUUCAGAAUAUAUAUAUGAAGGGUAUAUCAUGGACGCAAGUUACAUACAGUUUUCUUAUGCAAGAACAUAUGCAGAAAUUACAGACGUGGAGCUCAUCUCAAACGUAUGCACCACAAGUUGUAUUUGA
This 351-nucleotide ribosomal RNA is filed under the name Triticum aestivum (bread wheat). RNAcentral's name for it is "partial small subunit ribosomal RNA". Lineage: Eukaryota; Viridiplantae; Streptophyta; Magnoliopsida; Poales; Poaceae. The record is from RNAcentral.